Malaya genurostris is the source of this 737-nucleotide RNA transcript. RefSeq lists it as uncharacterized. Lineage: Eukaryota; Metazoa; Arthropoda; Insecta; Diptera; Culicidae. The transcript has 4 exons. The record is from RefSeq and is a predicted model, not a curated record.
UGGCAGAUGUAAAUUAUGAUUGUCGAGCAAUAACAAAACUGGUCUUGAUGUGCUCGGUCUUAUAUAGUGAGAGAAACGUUAACGUUAACGCUGAAUAACCCAUUCUUUCCGCAAUAACAAUCCAAUCAUCGGCCUAUACUGACUGCGCCUAUACUGUAUCGAAGAUUUUAUCGAUCAAUCAUUCGGAGUUAGUCGUGGAUACAUCGAUUAAGUAUAAAAUAGUCAACAAAUUUCAAGCAGUACUUAGUUGAUGAUUUACGCCCUAGUACAUUUGAUAAAUUUCAAGAAAAAUGAUUUUUUUAACUACGUUAAUUUUGAUAGUACUCGCAUCGUUAUGUCAGGCUUUGUACACGGAGAAACAAGAACAGACACUGAAUGUUGUUGUAGGACAAUGUGCUGAGGAACUUGGCAUAGAUUUGAACAGUAAUUUCACGGAACAAUGGGAAUAUACCGGAGUCCUUUUUCCGGAUGAGGAGAAGUCGAAAAAUUUUGCCUUUUGUAUUCAUCGCACAUUAGGCGUGUUGGAUGCUAAUGGUAUGAUUAAAGCUCAAACGUGGAUCGACUUACUCCGAUGGCCACGAUGUUCAGGAAUUGCAAGAACUUCUUCAGCAAUGUAACAAGGGUGAAGGAGAUACCAACGAAGACAGAUUAUACAACUUCUACAAGUGCUUCUGGGUAGAAAAAACAUUGGAAUUGUGACGGACAGAUCAUAGCAGAAUUUUUAAAAUUAAAUGAAU